AGGAUGCCAAGAACAAGAAUGUGGAGAAUAUCUUGAUUUUGUCUGGUGACCACCUGUACUGGAUGAAUUACAUGAAUUUUGUGCAGAAGCAUAUUGAUACAAAUGCCGAUAUCACAGUUUCAUGUGUCCCAAUGGAUGACAGUCGUGCUUCGAGUUGUGGACUGAUGAAGAUUGACAGAACUGGACGGAUCAUCCAAUUUGCCGGAAAAAAACCAUCAGUGACAACUGUUCAACUUGUUAGCUGACAUCCUUUAAUGCCUGAUUAGGUAUCUAUAAUCAAGACUGAUAUCUCGACCAUACUAAGUUCAUUCUGGCGACCCAGCUUCCUACAUCAUAAAAGUGCACAUGCAGAAUCCUGAGCACUA
Long non-coding RNA from Eucalyptus grandis, 365 nucleotides. RefSeq lists it as uncharacterized. NCBI's taxonomy places the organism in Eukaryota, Viridiplantae, Streptophyta, Magnoliopsida, Myrtales, Myrtaceae. The record is from RefSeq and is a predicted model, not a curated record. The transcript is spliced from 3 exons.